UGGGGAAUAUUGGACAAUGGGGGCAACCCUGAUCCAGCCAUGCCGCGUGAGUGAAGAAGGCCUUAGGGUUGUAAAGCUCUUUCAGUCGUGACGAUGAUGACGGUGGCGACAGAAGAAGCCCCGGCUAACUCCGUGCCAGCAGCCGCGGUAAUACGGAGGGGGCAAGCGUUGUUCGGAUUUACUGGGCGUAAAGGGCGCGUAGGCGGGGUAUCAAGUUAGGGGUGAAAGCCCGGGGCUCAACCUCGGAACUGCCUUUAAAACUGAUACUCUAGAGUCCGGAAGAGGGUCGCGGAAUUCCCAGUGUAGGGGUGAAAUUCGUAGAGAUUGGGAAGAACAUCGGUGGCGAAAGCGCUCUGCUGGGCCGCAACUGACACUCAGGGACGAAAGCUAGGGGAGCGAAAGGGAUUAGAUACCCCUGUAGUCC
Molecule: ribosomal RNA, 424 nt
Filed under: uncultured prokaryote
Description: bacterial SSU rRNA
Rfam family: Bacterial small subunit ribosomal RNA
Source: RNAcentral